GAGAAAAUUGGUGGAUUUCAAGUAAUCAAGCAAUCAAAGGUGGUGAGCCUUCUAACAAAAGUAAAGACGUUGUGUCAGAAGACUGAGAAUAGGAGUAUUUCAAACUCCUGAUACAGCUCAGGAUAGUCGGUAGAUAGCUCAUUUCGUUGAG
Molecule: non-coding RNA, 151 nt
Organism: Theobroma cacao (cacao)
Lineage: Eukaryota; Viridiplantae; Streptophyta; Magnoliopsida; Malvales; Malvaceae
Source: RefSeq, a predicted model, not a curated record